This 1056-nucleotide long non-coding RNA is filed under the name Malus domestica (apple). Its description in RNAcentral is "long non-coding RNA (MDOM_LNC012155)". The record is from RNAcentral. Lineage: Eukaryota; Viridiplantae; Streptophyta; Magnoliopsida; Rosales; Rosaceae.
AACAUUUAUAUGAGGUGCUAGCAACAGGAUCAACAUUUCGACAUUGGGUAAAUGAACAGAGAAUAUGGAUGAUGAAGUCAGUCACAUCUCACUUAUAUGGUAGUGUGGAUGCUUUCAUGAAGAAACUUGGUAUGAGAGAAGCCAGUUUCUCCCAACAAAUAAAGUCGACGACGUUGAACAACUCAAGCUUUACAAUAUGGGAGUAUUUGAUUUCCAAACAUCACUACAAUUUCUUGCUCCAAUGGUUGCCCUAGUCAUCUUGAACAUGGCUUCGUUUGCUGUGGGGAUUGCUAGAGGGAUCUUUGUGGGGGAGUUGGACAAGAUGUUCAUACAAAUCUUCAUAGCCUUUUAUGUCAUAGUAAUGAACUACCCUAUUAUUGAAGGAAUGCUAAUAAGGAAAGACAAAGGAAGCAUUCCACUAUCUGUUACCCUACUAUCUGCCUUAUUUUCCCUCAUUGUCUAUUUUUUUUGGUUCUAUUAGGUCUCGGGUUCAAGAUUUGGGAGCAGCCUCUCCAUAAAUGGGGGUAAGGUUAGCCGACAUUCACCUCUCCCAGACCCUGCGUAAAGCGGGAGCCUUGUGCACUGGGUACGACCUAUUAUAUUCAUGUAGCAAGGUCAUGACCUAUAUAUGUGUAUACAUUUUUCUGAUUUAAUAAUAUGAUUCCUAACUGUUUUUAUUUUUCUACUCUUUGCUUCUGUUACUUCUUAAUCAUUGGGAUAUUGUAAAUGUAGGGGUGUCUAAAAGAUAUACUCUUUUCUUCUCUUGGCUAAGAGUUCUACUUCAGCCUUCAGCCCCCAAAGUAAUAGGAAUGCAUGAAUAGAGCCAUAAUUUCGAAGAAAGAAACGCCAUUAAAUUGUCUUUGACUAGUGAUCAGAGUAAAGUUACCAUAAACUAAGCCCAAUAAGUUUUGGCAGCAACAUUAAUAGGUAAGAACAUGUAUCUCCAUAGUCCAAGUUCUGGAGGUCCUUUUUCCAAAUCGCUCUUUCAUUUAAUCAAUAAUAGAAUAUGUUUCCAAAUCACCCUAAUGGUCCAAUAAAUUUAGGAAAAUAAUAAAC